RNAcentral lists this ribosomal RNA (395 nucleotides) under uncultured bacterium. RNAcentral describes it as "partial 16S ribosomal RNA". It matches the Rfam family "Bacterial small subunit ribosomal RNA", at positions 523 to 918 of the family's 1533-position model. The record is from RNAcentral.
AUACGUAGGGGGCGAGCGUUGUCCGGAAUGAUUGGGCGUAAAGGGCGCGUAGGCGGCCCGGUGAGUCUGGAGUGAAAGUCCUGCUUUUAAGGUGGGAAUUGCUUUGGAUACUGUCGGGCUUGAGUGCAGGAGAGGUAAGUGGAAUUCCCAGUGUAGCGGUGAAAUGCGUAGAGAUUGGGAGGAACACCAGUGGCGAAGGCGACUGACUGGACUGUAACUGACGCUGAGGCGCGAAAGUGUGGGGAGCAAACAGGAUUAGAUACCCCGGUAGUCCUAGCCGUAAACGAUGGAUACUGGGUGUGGGUGUCGCAGGGCAUCCGUGCCGCAGUUAACGCGUUAAGUAUCCCGCCUGGGGACUACGGUCGCAAGACUGAAACUCAAAUGAAUUGGCGGGG